Molecule: unclassified non-coding RNA, 217 nt
Filed under: Hevea brasiliensis (rubber tree)
Lineage: Eukaryota; Viridiplantae; Streptophyta; Magnoliopsida; Malpighiales; Euphorbiaceae
Source: RNAcentral
AAUAUUCACACAAAGAAUAAUUUGAAACACUCACAUGCCCAUCUAUCACAUAAAUAUACGUAUCUAUAUGGGAGUUGAUUUCCUAUACAGCUCUUUUAAUCCAAUGCUAGCCAGCGAAAUCAACUCAAGGCGGACUUUCUCUUAACAAUUCAAAUGCAGGGGUCAGCAAAAUCAACUUAAAGCUAUAUUCACCCCUAGGGGUGAGCAUUCGGUUCAA